RNAcentral lists this long non-coding RNA (1478 nucleotides) under Numida meleagris (helmeted guineafowl). RNAcentral's name for it is "lncRNA (ENSNMEG00000018481.1)". Lineage: Eukaryota; Metazoa; Chordata; Aves; Galliformes; Numididae. The record is from RNAcentral.
CGGAGAACCUAGCCUGCUAAGCAGAUUUUCAUUGUAAAUCUGUCUGGUUUCCUGCCAGGUCACCUGCAUGGCUCCUUGGCUGCUUGCCAGUGCUUGCAGCUCUAAGGUAGCCACACCAGAACGCCUGCCCUGAUCUGAGACCUCGGCUCCCUGCAUUUACAUCUGUGUAGGAAGAGCCCUGGGCACAGGGACCCCUCCCAGGCAGAACCCCAGCUUCCCUGCAGGCUCUGAGGCAGCUUGGGUGGAUUUCCAUCCUCUGAAAAGUUUAGGGGAAAGGGAAAAAAAAGUUGUUCUGAAACUGAAUGGGAACUGUUUCUGCAAUGUUGAUGCUUCCUGCAGACCACGAACUCUGAAUUUGGCAGCUCUCAUGUGCCAGUAGAUAGAAGCAAGGGCAGAUGUCAAAUGGCAGGCUGUGCCUACCAUCAGCUGUGCUCCACGUUAUGUCUCCUGUCUUGACUACGCUGUGGUCUUCUCCGAGCUGAGAAAAGACAGUGACAAUGGAGAAAGGAAAGCCCUGAACAAGCGUUUCUGGCAUGAGGAAGAACCAGCUUCAGCGUCUCACCCUGCCACGUGUAGAACCUCGUGUUUCCUGUACUUGCUGGCACACUUGACUGCAGCCCUUCCUUCUCCAACAUGUCUCUGAGAUGCUGUCCCCAAGCAUGCUGGCAUGUUUGCACGAAACAUGUAUGAUCCAUCGGCCCAAUUUCCAUCUGCUACAGGAGUACUUUCUGUCUCUGAGAAUCCAGCCUGCCCAUGGAGAUAGGCUCUCUCGCAGAGUGCAGUGGGUUUUUGCAUGCUAAUCUACCUUGAGCAGAGUAUUAAGCAACAGAGGGCGCACAGGGUCGGUGAGCUGCAGCAUUUGUGUUGUAUUUGAAAAUACAUAUCUUCAGUCUGUUGGCCAGAUACCAAAACUUGUCCAAAAAUACAACCAAAAGACUUACUUAGGCUUUCAGAGUCUUAGUUACUUUGUUUGGUUUACAUAGUCCAAAAAAACAUACAUCAACAUAAGAGCAAAUGUCAGUCUGUACUUCUGUGCAAGCUCUUUGUGGACACCCUAAAGAGCCAAACUAGCCCAAGGAGUUGGGGCAGCAUUUCCUAACCCCAGUGUGUCCUCCGCUUGCUCUCUGAUGGAACCGUGGGAUGUGCUGGGGAGGAAGGAGAGCUUCUGUCAUCUCUUGAAAGCAACAACACACAUGCUCUGCUGUCUUCCCCAAGACUUUUCCCUAAAAAAAAAAGUACUUCUAUCGUGGUACACUUUGAUUCUUUAAUUUCCCAACGUUUUUUAAAAGGAAAGCAAAUAUUUCCUUGAAACAUUUUUAAUGGAACAGAUGUGAAUUUAUCUAAAAACAUUUUGGUGGCAAAUGUUAGACUUGUGUUACCAUGAAAUGCUUUUAAUAUGAAAGAGAUCACAGCAGUUAAAUUUUUUUAGGGCAUAAAUUUAACUGUAAAUGUAAUAAAGAAUUAAAUAGUACCCUACA